AUGGCGGGAGCGGUGAACGGCGUGGAGGCAGCGCAAGCUCAGGGCGGCGGCGCGGCGGCGGGGGAGGCGGCGAUCAGGCACCGGACGGUGGAGGCGAACGGCAUCGCGAUGCACGUGGCGGAGUCCGGGCCGGAGGACGGGCGGGCGGUGCUGUUCCUGCACGGCUUCCCGGAGCUGUGGUACUCGUGGCGGCACCAGAUGGCGCACCUCGCCGCGCGGGGCUACCGGUGCGUGGCGCCCGACCUGCGCGGCUACGGCGGCACGGAGGCGCCGGCCGACGUCGCGUCCUACACCGCCUUCCACGUCGUCGGCGACGCCGUCGCGCUGCUCGACGCCCUCGGCAUCGGCAAGGUGUUCGUGGUGGGGCACGACUGGGGCGCCAUCAUCGCCUGGUACCUCUGCCUCUUCCGCCCGGACCGGGUGACGGCGCUCGUCAACACCAGCGUCGCCUUCAUGCGCCACGUCUUCAUCCGCGCCGGCGCCGCCGCCGUCAAGACCACCGACUACUUCAACCAAGCCUACGGCCCGACCUACUACAUCUGCCGCUUCCAGGAGCCGGGGGUGGCGGAGAAGGAGUUCGCGCCGGCGCACGCGAGGCACCUGAUGACGCGGAUCCUGAGCGACCGCUUCAGCGAGCGCGCGGCGGGCAAGGAGCCCAAGGACGGCGGCGACGACGACGCCGAGGCGCUCCCGCCGUGGCUCACGGAGGCGGACAUCGACUACUUCGCCGCGGCGUUCGAGAAGACGGGCUUCACGGGCGCCAUCAACUACUACCGCAACAUGGACCGGAACUGGGAGCUGGCGGCGCCGUGGGCGGACGCCAAGGUGGCGGUGCCGACCAAGUUCAUCGUGGGGGACGGCGACCUGACGUACCACUACGCCGGGAUACAGGACUACCUGCACAAGGGCGGGCUCAAGGCGGACGUGCCGCUGCUGGAGGAGCUGGUCGUCGUCCCCGGCGCCGGCCACUUCAUCCAGCAGGAGCGGGCGCAGGAGGUCAGCGACCACAUCCACGAUUUCAUCGCCAAGUUCUGA
This 1035-nucleotide ribosomal RNA is filed under the name Triticum aestivum (bread wheat). RNAcentral's name for it is "partial small subunit ribosomal RNA". Lineage: Eukaryota; Viridiplantae; Streptophyta; Magnoliopsida; Poales; Poaceae. The record is from RNAcentral.